This 339-nucleotide ribosomal RNA is filed under the name Nannengaella alpestris. Its description in RNAcentral is "SSU rRNA". It matches the Rfam family "Bacterial small subunit ribosomal RNA", at positions 592 to 930 of the family's 1533-position model. The record is from RNAcentral. Lineage: Eukaryota; Evosea; Eumycetozoa; Physariida; Physaraceae.
UAGUCAAAGGCUGAGGAAAACCCUCUUCGAUCUAAAUCUAUUUACUAGCUUGAGUAUUUUGGGUGGCUUAUACAUUCCUGAAGUAAGGGUGAAAUUGUUUAUAACUGGAAGAUGUUCAAAAGCGAAAGCAAUCGCAAAGAAAUUCUGACGCUAAGGCACUAAGGCGUGGGGAUCAAAAAGGAUUAGAGACCUCGUAGUCCACGCAUUAAACAUGGGUGUUCAAUAACUUGGAGCGCACAAAGUGCCUUAGGGAAUUUACAGCUAACGCGUCAAACACCCCGCUGGGGAAUGUGGCCGCAAGGUCUAAACUCAACGGAAUUGACGGUGGCUCAUACAAGG